This 107-nucleotide small nucleolar RNA is filed under the name Sorghum bicolor (sorghum). RNAcentral's name for it is "Plant small nucleolar RNA R71". It matches the Rfam family "Plant small nucleolar RNA R71". From Rfam's summary of the family: R71 is a member of the C/D box family of snoRNAs containing the C (UGAUGA) and D (CUGA) box motifs. Multiple nearly identical copies of this snoRNA have been identified in Arabidopsis, and it is thought to function as a 2'-O-ribose methylation guide for 18S ribosomal RNA. Lineage: Eukaryota; Viridiplantae; Streptophyta; Magnoliopsida; Poales; Poaceae. The record is from Rfam by way of RNAcentral.
AUCCCAUGGUGCGUACAUGCAGUGACAUACUCUUGCAUUCUCUCCCAAGCAUCUGGAAUUGAUUCCUCAACUUGUUGUGUAAAACUGGAGAUUUUAUUGUGAAGAGC